Long non-coding RNA from Microplitis mediator, 314 nucleotides. RefSeq lists it as uncharacterized. Lineage: Eukaryota; Metazoa; Arthropoda; Insecta; Hymenoptera; Braconidae. The record is from RefSeq and is a predicted model, not a curated record. The transcript is spliced from 3 exons.
UAAUUACACAAAAGUUUACAGAACUUCGAGAACAACGAUCGCUCAAGAUAUAAAAUAAAAAAAAUGUCGAAAAUAAUUUUAUUAUUAUCAAUUUUCGUAUUGAUUAGUCUCUAUGCUGGUGCAGAUGCAGCAUGUCCAGGCGGCUGGUGCCAUCCAUACCAAGGUUAUGGCUGUUGUGCAGAACAUGUGUGUAAUUCGUAUUUUACUCAAGGUACAUGUAUAACUUUUCAAGAACAAGCAAAUCUAAGCACUUUAGGAAUAGGAAAAAAAUAAUUGUAAUAAGAGUGAAAAUUUAAAGAUGUAUUUUUACAAUU